UGGGUAACCCACCCCGAUGAUUGGGACAACCCGAGGAAACUCGGGCUAAUACCAAAUGUGCUCGUAGACCAUGAGGUCCAUGAGUAAAGAUAGCUUCGGCCUUCGCAUCGGGACGGGCCCGCGGCCCAUUAGCUUGUUGGUGAGGUAACGGCUCACCAAGGCAAAGAUGGUUAGCUGGUCUGAGAGGAUGAUCAGCCACACUGGAACUGAGACACGGCCCAGACUCCUAGGGAGG
RNAcentral lists this ribosomal RNA (235 nucleotides) under uncultured bacterium. RNAcentral's name for it is "partial 16S ribosomal RNA". It matches the Rfam family "Bacterial small subunit ribosomal RNA", at positions 118 to 348 of the family's 1533-position model. The record is from RNAcentral.